UUGAAACUUAGGGAGCUACCAUUUGAUUUUUAUGGGGGGGCUAGGAUGAAAUUUGAAAAAAAUAGGCAGGACAGGAGUUUUGAGUAAAAAAAAAAAGGCAGGAUGAGACACUUGCAAAAAAAAAAAAAAGUCAGGACGACAAUUUAAGUAAAAAAAAGUCAGGAUAAACUAAAAAACAAAGGCAGGACCGAACAGAGUGAAAAAUAAAAAGGCAGGACAGAGAUUACAGCUAAAAAAAAAUGCAGGACAAAAUUUUUCAUCCUAGCCCCCCCCUAAAAAUCAAAUGGUAGCUCCCUUAGCCAGACUUUGUUAUGUUCUACACACACUUGUUGGAAUGUGGUCUUAGCAAAUGACAUAAAAAUGUGAAAUUGUCCCUAAUAAACAGGUUUUAUUUAACUAUGUAUGCACAGUUAAUUCAUUAUCAUUUAUGCAUGUACCUUGAUCCAGCUGUACACAAUAAAUAAAUUAUUUUCCUUUCCUUUUUUUAAACAUAAAGUUUUUGUUUCUUGCUUAUUUCAAA
Molecule: long non-coding RNA, 520 nt
Filed under: Mytilus galloprovincialis (Mediterranean mussel)
Lineage: Eukaryota; Metazoa; Mollusca; Bivalvia; Mytilida; Mytilidae
Source: RNAcentral